RNAcentral lists this ribosomal RNA (1570 nucleotides) under Ligilactobacillus salivarius. RNAcentral's name for it is "bacterial SSU rRNA". It matches the Rfam family "Bacterial small subunit ribosomal RNA". The record is from RNAcentral. Lineage: Bacteria; Bacillati; Bacillota; Bacilli; Lactobacillales; Lactobacillaceae.
UAAAAUGAGAGUUUGAUCCUGGCUCAGGACGAACGCUGGCGGCGUGCCUAAUACAUGCAAGUCGAACGAAACUUUCUUACACCGAAUGCUUGCAUUCACCGUAAGAAGCUGAGUGGCGGACGGGUGAGUAACACGUGGGUAACCUGCCUAAAAGAAGGGGAUAACACUUGGAAACAGGUGCUAAUACCGUAUAUCUCUAAGGAUCGCAUGAUCCUUAGAUGAAAGAUGGUUCUGCUAUCGCUUUUAGAUGGACCCGCGGCGUAUUAACUAGUUGGUGGGGUAACGGCCUACCAAGGUGAUGAUACGUAGCCGAACUGAGAGGUUGAUCGGCCACAUUGGGACUGAGACACGGCCCAAACUCCUACGGGAGGCAGCAGUAGGGAAUCUUCCACAAUGGACGCAAGUCUGAUGGAGCAACGCCGCGUGAGUGAAGAAGGUCUUCGGAUCGUAAAACUCUGUUGUUAGAGAAGAACACGAGUGAGAGUAACUGUUCAUUCGAUGACGGUAUCUAACCAGCAAGUCACGGCUAACUACGUGCCAGCAGCCGCGGUAAUACGUAGGUGGCAAGCGUUGUCCGGAUUUAUUGGGCGUAAAGGGAACGCAGGCGGUCUUUUAAGUCUGAUGUGAAAGCCUUCGGCUUAACCGGAGUAGUGCAUUGGAAACUGGAAGACUUGAGUGCAGAAGAGGAGAGUGGAACUCCAUGUGUAGCGGUGAAAUGCGUAGAUAUAUGGAAGAACACCAGUGGCGAAAGCGGCUCUCUGGUCUGUAACUGACGCUGAGGUUCGAAAGCGUGGGUAGCAAACAGGAUUAGAUACCCUGGUAGUCCACGCCGUAAACGAUGAAUGCUAGGUGUUGGAGGGUUUCCGCCCUUCAGUGCCGCAGCUAACGCAAUAAGCAUUCCGCCUGGGGAGUACGACCGCAAGGUUGAAACUCAAAGGAAUUGACGGGGGCCCGCACAAGCGGUGGAGCAUGUGGUUUAAUUCGAAGCAACGCGAAGAACCUUACCAGGUCUUGACAUCCUUUGACCACCUAAGAGAUUAGGCUUUCCCUUCGGGGACAAAGUGACAGGUGGUGCAUGGCUGUCGUCAGCUCGUGUCGUGAGAUGUUGGGUUAAGUCCCGCAACGAGCGCAACCCUUGUUGUCAGUUGCCAGCAUUAAGUUGGGCACUCUGGCGAGACUGCCGGUGACAAACCGGAGGAAGGUGGGGACGACGUCAAGUCAUCAUGCCCCUUAUGACCUGGGCUACACACGUGCUACAAUGGACGGUACAACGAGUCGCGAGACCGCGAGGUUUAGCUAAUCUCUUAAAGCCGUUCUCAGUUCGGAUUGUAGGCUGCAACUCGCCUACAUGAAGUCGGAAUCGCUAGUAAUCGCGAAUCAGCAUGUCGCGGUGAAUACGUUCCCGGGCCUUGUACACACCGCCCGUCACACCAUGAGAGUUUGUAACACCCAAAGCCGGUGGGGUAACCGCAAGGAGCCAGCCGUCUAAGGUGGGACAGAUGAUUGGGGUGAAGUCGUAACAAGGUAGCCGUAGGAGAACCUGCGGCUGGAUCACCUCCUUUCUAAGGAA